GGCACUUUGGCGGAGUGGUCAACGCGACAGCCGUAAGUUCCUUCAUAAAGUAAAUCCAUAUAAUCCUGUCUAACAUGUUGUGCAGUGCUAAGCUGUUUCCUUCGGGAGCGUGAGUUCGAAUCUCACAGGUGUCG
Molecule: non-coding RNA, 134 nt
Organism: Diaporthe sp. PMI_573
Lineage: Eukaryota; Fungi; Ascomycota; Sordariomycetes; Diaporthales; Diaporthaceae
Source: the annotation of a GenBank genome assembly